UGUCAAGUCGGAUGUGAAAUCCCCGGGCUCAACCUGGGAACUGCAUUCGAAACUGGCAGGCUAGAGUCUUGUAGAGGGGGGUAGAAUUCCAGGUGUAGCGGUGAAAUGCGUAGAGAUCUGGAGGAAUACCGGUGGCGAAGGCGGCCCCCUGGACAAAGACUGACGCUCAGGUGCGAAAGCGUGGGGAGCAAACAGGAUUAGAUACCCUGGUAGUCCACGCCGUAAACGAUGUCGAUUUGGAGGUUGUGCCCUUGAGGCGUGGCUUCCGGAGCUAACGCGUUAAAUCGACCGCCUGGGGAGUACGGCCGCAAGGUUAAAACUCAAAUGAAUUGACGGGGGCCCGCACAAGCGGUGGAGCAUGUGGUUUAAUUCGAUGCAACGCGAAGAACCUUACCUGGUCUUGACAUCCACAGAACUUUCCAGAGAUGG
This 429-nucleotide ribosomal RNA is filed under the name Klebsiella pneumoniae. Its description in RNAcentral is "bacterial SSU rRNA". It matches the Rfam family "Bacterial small subunit ribosomal RNA", at positions 581 to 1009 of the family's 1533-position model. Lineage: Bacteria; Pseudomonadati; Pseudomonadota; Gammaproteobacteria; Enterobacterales; Enterobacteriaceae. The record is from RNAcentral. RNAcentral also lists the same sequence under 1 other name.